GUGGGGAAUAUUGGACAAUGGGCGAAAGCCUGAUCCAGCCAUGCCGCGUGUGUGAAGAAGGUCUUCGGAUUGUAAAGCACUUUAAGUUGGGAGGAAGGGUAGUAACCUAAUACGUUGCUACUUUGACGUUACCGACAGAAUAAGCACCGGCUAACUUCGUGCCAGCAGCCGCGGUAAUACGAAGGGUGCAAGCGUUAAUCGGAAUUACUGGGCGUAAAGCGCGCGUAGGUGGUUCAGUAAGUUGGAAGUGAAAUCCCCGGGCUCAACCUGGGAACUGCUUUCAAAACUGCUGAGAUAGAGUACGGUAGAGGGUGGUGGAAUUUCCUGUGUAGCGGUGAAAUGCGUAGAUAUAGGAAGGAACACCAGUGGCGAAGGCGACCACCUGGACUGAUACUGACACUGAGGCACGAAAGCGUGGGGAGCAAACAGGAUUAGAUACCCUGGUAGUCC
RNAcentral lists this ribosomal RNA (450 nucleotides) under uncultured bacterium. Its description in RNAcentral is "partial 16S ribosomal RNA". It matches the Rfam family "Bacterial small subunit ribosomal RNA", at positions 354 to 796 of the family's 1533-position model. The record is from RNAcentral.